RNAcentral lists this ribosomal RNA (510 nucleotides) under uncultured bacterium. Its description in RNAcentral is "bacterial SSU rRNA". It matches the Rfam family "Bacterial small subunit ribosomal RNA", at positions 17 to 518 of the family's 1533-position model. The record is from RNAcentral.
UUCUGGCUCAGGAUGAACGCUAGCUACAGGCUUAACACAUGCAAGUCGAGGGGCAGCAUGGGAUUAGCUUGCUAAUCCUGAUGGCGACCGGCGCACGGGUGAGUAACGCGUAUCCAACCUUCCCCCUGCUCAGGGAUAGCCCGGUGAAAACCGGAUUAAGACCUGAUAGUCUCACUAGAUGGCAUCUGACGGUGAAUAAAGGUUUCGGCAAGGGAUGGGGAUGCGUCUGAUUAGCUUGUUGGCGGGGUAACGGCCCACCAAGGCGACGAUCAGUAGGGUUCUGAGAGGAAGGUCCCCCACAUUGGAACUGAGACACGGUCCAAACUCCUACGGGAGGCAGCAGUGAGGAAUAUUGGUCAAUGGGCGGAAGCCUGAACCAGCCAAGUAGCGUGCCAGGAUGACGGCCCUAUGGGUUGUAAACUGCUUUUGUGCGGGAAUAAAGUCAGGGACGCGUCCCUGUUUGCAUGUACCGCAAGAAUAAGGACCGGCUAAUUCCGUGCCAGCCGCAGC